AUGCUUACUUCGGCAGCACUUAUACUAAAAUUGGAACUAUACAGAGAAGAUUAGCAUGACCCCUGUGCAAGGCUGACUUGCAAAUUUGCAAAGCAUUCCAUAUUUUU
Molecule: small nuclear RNA, 107 nt
Filed under: Phocoena sinus (vaquita)
Lineage: Eukaryota; Metazoa; Chordata; Mammalia; Artiodactyla; Phocoenidae
Also listed under: 1 other name
Source: RNAcentral